RNAcentral lists this ribosomal RNA (498 nucleotides) under uncultured bacterium. RNAcentral's name for it is "bacterial SSU rRNA". It matches the Rfam family "Bacterial small subunit ribosomal RNA", at positions 899 to 1397 of the family's 1533-position model. The record is from RNAcentral.
ACUCAAAUGAAUUGACGGGGACCCGCACAAGCAGCGGAGCAUGUGGUUUAAUUCGAAGCAACGCGAAGAACCUUACCAGGGCUUGACAUCCCUCUGACCGGCCGGUAACGCGGCCUUCUCUUCGGAGCAGAGGUGACAGGUGGUGCAUGGUUGUCGUCAGCUCGUGUCGUGAGAUGUUGGGUUAAGUCCCGCAACGAGCGCAACCCUUGUCAUUAGUUGCCAUCAGGUGAUGCUGGGCACUCUAGUGAGACCGCCGGGGAUAACUCGGAGGAAGGUGGGGAUGACGUCAAAUCAUCAUGCCCCUUAUGUUCUGGGCUACACACGUGCUACAAUGGCCGGUACAGAGAGAAGCAAACUCGCGAGGGGGAGCAAAACUCUAAAACCGGUCCCAGUUCGGAUUGCAGGCUGAAACCCGCCUGCAUGAAGUCGGAGUUGCUAGUAAUCGCGAAUCAGAAUGUCGCGGUGAAUGCGUUCCCGGGUCUUGUACACACCGCCCGU